ACGUGAGGCUUCAAUAAAAAAGAGUAAAAUUUGAACCUAUGAAAUUACAUUAUUGCCCAUCAUUUUUUUUGUAUGAUAGAAGACUUUUGUCUUUUCACCAGCUAUUAGAUAACAAAGAGGAUUUAAUUAAUUAAUAGAGAUAUUCUAAUUUAUUUAUUUCUGACCCAUUUAAGAUUUAACAGUACAAGGGUGGUGUCUUUGCUCGGGAAUUGCAGGUCAUAAGUGUGAAAGAUUACAAUCUUUUUUUUGGUCGACAGGAAGAACUUUUAAUUAAAAAGGGGAGACCCAAACGAUUACAAACAGAUCAAAGGAGGCAAAAGCUCUCCAUUCCCAGAGGGAAUAAAACCAACAUAGAUCUUCUCCCGAUUUUUUUUGGUAAGGAUUACUAGAAUUUGUAAAUUGUGUUCGUUCAUCAUACAUUGUACAGUUAUUUUUGUCAAGUACUAUUUGUGUUUAAUUUUAAAUAAGAAUAUUUAAAAUAAUUUCUGAUCAUACGAUGUACGAAGAACAAACACAAUUUACAAAUUUUUGAAAUCCUCA
This 540-nucleotide long non-coding RNA is filed under the name Malus domestica (apple). RNAcentral's name for it is "long non-coding RNA (MDOM_LNC015499)". Lineage: Eukaryota; Viridiplantae; Streptophyta; Magnoliopsida; Rosales; Rosaceae. The record is from RNAcentral.